RNAcentral lists this ribosomal RNA (405 nucleotides) under uncultured bacterium. RNAcentral describes it as "partial 16S ribosomal RNA". It matches the Rfam family "Bacterial small subunit ribosomal RNA", at positions 30 to 525 of the family's 1533-position model. The record is from RNAcentral.
AUUGAACGCUGGCGGCAGGCCUAACACAUGCAAGUCGAACGAGUGGCGGACGGGUGAGUAAUGUCUGGGAAACUGCCUGAUGGAGGGGGAUAACUACUGGAAACGGUAGCUAAUACCGCAUACCAUCAGAUGUGCCCAGAUGGGAUUAGCUAGUUGGUGGGGUAACGGCUCACCAAGGCGACGAUCCCUAGCUGGUCUGAGAGGAUGACCAGCAACACUGGACCUUAGAAACGGUCCAGAUCCCUACGGGAGGAAGCGGUGGGAAAUAUUGAACAUGGGGCGCAAGCCUGAUGCAGCCAUGCCGGGUGUAUGAAGAAGGCCUUCGGGUUGUAAAGUACUUUCAGCGGGGAGGCGUUACCCGCAGAAGAAGCACCGGCUAACUCCGUGCCAGCAGCCGCGGUAUUC